Molecule: long non-coding RNA, 975 nt
Organism: Dermacentor andersoni
Lineage: Eukaryota; Metazoa; Arthropoda; Arachnida; Ixodida; Ixodidae
Source: RefSeq, a predicted model, not a curated record
UUAUGUAGGUGUUCUAUGAGAAGAGUCCGCGCGAACAUUUGUAUACGUACAGUACUUACAUCGGUGUUCUGUGCGUCCGAGUCUUUGUAUCGAAUGAUGUUGGGUUGAUGAGUACGUGAAAGCUCUGGGACGCGGCGCCUUUGGCUGCCAAGUCCUCUUCCCAUCUGACAACGGUGCGUCCGAGUCUUGCGCGUUCGUGUGGUUGGGUGACCCGCGUUCGGUUCUGCUUGUGCGUGCUGCAUGUCUACACUUUCUCUGAAGCUUCCAGCGGCCGUUCGUUUCAUAAACGCAAUGCCAAAGUAGCAAUGCCUCGCUUUUCAGCGAAACUGCGCAAGACGCUCCUAUCCUGCGGGAAAGCACCUGGAAAUGCAGCGUCAACGUGCCGAGCCCUCGCUGGCUGAACUUUGCAAACUCUUGCCAGGUGUGCUUUCUGGCUGCAGUUGUGACAGAUGGUGUUCCCAUGCCUGCAUCGCCGUGGAAGAUGGCGUGCAACUAAAACAGCAGCCGCUUUCAUUUUGCCUCAAGGCCACAGUGUUGACUUGCUCGGGAGCUUCAUCAGGAAGACAUCAUUGAUGCCCAGCAACAGUCAGUAACCAGUAGUUGCAGUAGAAGCACCUCAGUUGUGAUCAUCGUGACUAUGCAACCACUAGGCUGUCUGCCGUCGUCAUACACAAGUGCAACCACACAGGUGGGAAGUUGCUGCGCUGUCACUGGUACUGCCCUUGGAGCUUUUCGCAGAAGAGCAACUUCAAGACACAUGCGCACCCACAGUCGAGUGCCUCGAACACACAACUUUAGUUGGGAAUCGAACCUAUGACCUUGCGUCGUGGCGUGUCUUAAGUAUCGUGCGGUGGUCGGAAUGCUUUCACAUUCAUCCACGUAAGGAUAAAUAAGUGCUCCUUGAAUUUUUUUCCUUGCACCUAUUACAGUAACCUCCAUUUCAAUUGUUGGCAAUAAACAUAAUCUUUCUCUUUA